This 312-nucleotide long non-coding RNA is filed under the name Homo sapiens (human). RNAcentral describes it as "non-protein coding lnc-NEMF-1:9". It matches the Rfam family "Metazoan signal recognition particle RNA". From Rfam's summary of the family: The signal recognition particle (SRP) is a universally conserved ribonucleoprotein. The record is from RNAcentral. Lineage: Eukaryota; Metazoa; Chordata; Mammalia; Primates; Hominidae.
GCAGCGUCUCCGACCGCCGGGCGCGGUGGCGCGUGCCUGUAGUCCCAGCUACUCGGGAGGCUGAGGUGGGAGGAUCGCUUGAGCCCAGGAGUUCUGGGCUGUAGUGCGCUAUGCCGAUCGGGUGUCCGCACUAAGUUCGGCAUCAAUAUGGUGACCUCCCGGGAGCGGGGGACCACCAGGUUGCCUAAGGAGGGGUGAACCGGCCCAGGUCGGAAACGGAGCAGGUCAAAACUCCCGUGCUGAUCAGUAGUGGGAUCGCGCCUGUGAAUAGCCACUGCACUCCAGCCUGAGCAACAUAGCGAGACCCCGUCU